RNAcentral lists this ribosomal RNA (253 nucleotides) under uncultured bacterium. RNAcentral describes it as "partial 16S ribosomal RNA". It matches the Rfam family "Bacterial small subunit ribosomal RNA", at positions 524 to 776 of the family's 1533-position model. The record is from RNAcentral.
UACGGGGGGGGCAAGCGUUGUUCGGAAUUACUGGGCGUAAAGGGCUCGUAGGUGGCCAACUAAGUCGGACGUGAAAUCCCUCGGCUUAACCGGGGAACUGCGUCCGAUACUGGUUGGCUUGAGUUUGGGAGAGGGAUGCGGAAUUCCAGGUGUAGCGGUGAAAUGCGUAGAUAUCUGGAGGAACACCGGUGGCGAAGGCGGCAUCCUGGACCAAUACUGACGAUGAGGAGCGAAAGCCAGGGGAGCAAACGGG